RNAcentral lists this ribosomal RNA (427 nucleotides) under uncultured bacterium. Its description in RNAcentral is "bacterial SSU rRNA". It matches the Rfam family "Bacterial small subunit ribosomal RNA", at positions 28 to 446 of the family's 1533-position model. The record is from RNAcentral.
GACGAACGUUGGCGGUGCGCUUCAUGCAUGCAAGUCGAGGGAGAAGCGUUGGUUCCGUAAGGUUCCGACGUGGAAACCGGCGAACGGGUGCGUAACACGUGAGAAACCUGCCCCCAAGACUGGGAUAGCCCAGGGAAACUUGGAUUAAUACCGGAUACUCUCACCGGGCCGCAUGGCCUGGUGAGGAAAUGGUCCGCCGCUUGGGGAUGGUCUCGCGGCCUAUCAGGUUGUUGGUGAGGUAACGGCUCACCAAGCCGAAGACGGGUAGCUGGUCUGAGAGGACGAUCAGCCACACUGGAACUGAGACACGGUCCAGACUCCUACGGAGGCAGCAGCAGGGAAUAUUGCACAAUGGGCGAAAGCCUGAUGCAGCGACACCGCGUGCGGGAUGAAGGCCUUCGGGUUGUAAACCGCUUUCAGGAGGAAG